Molecule: ribosomal RNA, 521 nt
Filed under: uncultured bacterium
Lineage: Bacteria
Description: bacterial SSU rRNA
Rfam family: Bacterial small subunit ribosomal RNA
Source: RNAcentral
GUAACACGUGGGAAUUUACCAAGAAGUGGGGAAUAGCUCGACGAAAGUCGAAUUAAUACCGCAUAUGAUCGCAAGAUCAAAGCCGGGGACCGCAAGGCCUGGCGCUUUUUGAGAAGCCCGCGGCCCAUCAGCUAGUUGGCGGGGUAACGGCCACCAAGGCUAUGACGGGUAGCUGGUCUGAGAGGACGACCAGCCACACUGGAACUGAGACACGGUCCAGACACCUACGGGUGGCAGCAGUCGAGAAUUUUUCACAAUGGACGAAAGUCUGAUGGAGCGACGCCGCGUGGAGGAUGAAGGUUUUCGGAUUGUAAACUCCUGUCACUGCAGAACAAGGAUAUGCUCGUUAACAGCGAAUGUAUUUGAUGGUAUGCGGACGAGGACGGGACGGCUAACUCUGUGCCAGCAGCCGCGGUAAGACCAGAGGUCCCGAGCGUUGCUCGGAUUCAUUGGGCGUAAAGGGUGUGUCACGAGGUCGGGUCAGACAGGUGUGAAAUCUCCAGGGGCUUAACCCUGGAAAA